This 913-nucleotide ribosomal RNA is filed under the name uncultured bacterium. Its description in RNAcentral is "bacterial SSU rRNA". It matches the Rfam family "Bacterial small subunit ribosomal RNA", at positions 14 to 917 of the family's 1533-position model. The record is from RNAcentral. RNAcentral also lists the same sequence under 1 other name.
UGAUUAUGGCUCAGGAUGAACGCUAGCUACAGGCUUAACACAUGCAAGUCGAGGGGAAACGGCAUCGAAAGCUUGCUUUUGAUGGGCGUCGACCGGCGCACGGGUGAGUAACGCGUAUCCAACCUGCCCACCACUUGGGGAUAACCUUGCGAAAGUAAGACUAAUACCCAAUGACGUCUCUAGAAGACAUCUGAAAGAGAUUAAAGAUUUAUCGGUGAUGGAUGGGGAUGCGUCUGAUUAGCUUGUUGGCGGGGUAACGGCCCACCAAGGCGACGAUCAGUAGGGGUUCUGAGAGGAAGGUCCCCCACAUUGGAACUGAGACACGGUCCAAACUCCUACGGGAGGCAGCAGUGAGGAAUAUUGGUCAAUGGGCGAGAGCCUGAACCAGCCAAGUAGCGUGCAGGAUGACGGCCCUAUGGGUUGUAAACUGCUUUUAUAAGGGAAUAAAGUGAGUCUCGUGAGACUUUUUGCAUGUACCUUAUGAAUAAGGACCGGCUAAUUCCGUGCCAGCAGCCGCGGUAAUACGGAAGGUCCGGGCGUUAUCCGGAUUUAUUGGGUUUAAAGGGAGCGUAGGCCGGAGAUUAAGCGUGUUGUGAAAUGUAGACGCUCAACGUCUGCACUGCAGCGCGAACUGGUUUCCUUGAGUACGCACAAAGUGGGCGGAAUUCGUGGUGUAGCGGUGAAAUGCUUAGAUAUCACGAAGAACUCCGAUUGCGAAGGCAGCUCACUGGAGCGCAACUGACGCUGAAGCUCGAAAGUGCGGGUAUCGAACAGGAUUAGAUACCCUGGUAGUCCGCACGGUAAACGAUGGAUGCCCGCUGUUGGUCUGAACAGGUCAGCGGCCAAGCGAAAGCAUUAAGCAUCCCACCUGGGGAGUACGCCGGCAACGGUGCAACUCAAAUGAAUUGACGGA